AACGAACGCUGGCGGCAGGCUUAACACAUGCAAGUCGAACGCUCGUAGCGAUACGAGAGUGGCAGACGGGUGAGUAACACGUGGGAACAUACCCUUUGGUUCGGAACAACGCGUGGAAACGCGCGCUAAUACCGGAUAAGCCUCUGGAGUGAUCCGGGGGGAAAGAUUGAUUGCCGAAGGAUUGGCCCGCGUCCGAUUAGCUUGUUGGUGAGGUAACGGCUCACCAAGGCAUCGANCGGUAGCUGGUCUGAGAGGAU
RNAcentral lists this ribosomal RNA (257 nucleotides) under uncultured bacterium. RNAcentral describes it as "partial 16S ribosomal RNA". It matches the Rfam family "Bacterial small subunit ribosomal RNA", at positions 29 to 301 of the family's 1533-position model. The record is from RNAcentral.